UGAUGCAGCAACGCCGCGUGGAGGAUGAAGGUCUUUGGAUUGUAAACUCCUUUCUGCGGGACGAGGAAGGACGGUACCGCAGGAAUAAGUCACGGCUAACUACGUGCCAGCAGCCGCGGUAAUACGUAGGUGGCGAGCGUUAUCCGGAAUUACUGGGCGUAAGGCGCACGCAGGCGGCUUGUCGGGUCUGACGUGAAAUCUCUUGGCUUAACCGGGAGGGGUCGUUGGAAACUGGCGAGCUUGAGGCGAUGAGAGGGACAUGGAAUUCCCGGUGUAGUGGUGGAAUGCGUAGAUAUCGGGAGGAACACCAGAGGCGAAAGCGGUGUCCUGGCAUUGGCCUGACGCUCAUGUGCGAAAGCGUGGGGAGCGAACGGGAUUAGAUACCCCGGUAGUCCACGCGGUAAACGAUGAAUACUGGGUGUAGGCGGGGUUAGAGCCGUCUGUGCCGAAGCCAACGCGUUAAGUAUUCCGCCUGGGGAGUACGGCCGCAAGGCUA
Molecule: ribosomal RNA, 496 nt
Filed under: uncultured Chloroflexota bacterium
Lineage: Bacteria; Bacillati; Chloroflexota
Description: bacterial SSU rRNA
Rfam family: Bacterial small subunit ribosomal RNA
Source: RNAcentral